Molecule: ribosomal RNA, 404 nt
Filed under: uncultured bacterium
Lineage: Bacteria
Description: bacterial SSU rRNA
Rfam family: Bacterial small subunit ribosomal RNA
Source: RNAcentral
UAGGGAAUAUUGCACCAUGGGCGAAAGCCUGAUGCAGCAACGCCGCGUGAGUGAUGAAGGCCCUCGGGUCGUAAAACUCUUUUCAAGAGGAAGAGGAAGGACGGUACUCUUGGAAUAAGCCUCGGCUAACUACGUGCCAGCAGCCGCGGUAACACGUAGGAGGCGAGCGUUAUUCGGAUUUACUGGGCGUAAAGCGCGUGUAGGCGGCUUAUUAAGUUGGAUGUGAAAGCUCCUGGCUUAACUGGGAGAGGACGUUCAAAACUAGUAAGCUUGAGUACGAGAGAGGAAAAUGGAAUUCCGGGUGUAGUGGUGAAAUGCGUAGAUAUCCGGAGGAACACCAGUGGCGAAGGCGAUUUUCUGGCUCGAGACUGACGCUCAGACGCGAAAGCUAGGGUAGCAAACGG